RNAcentral lists this unclassified non-coding RNA (228 nucleotides) under Hevea brasiliensis (rubber tree). Lineage: Eukaryota; Viridiplantae; Streptophyta; Magnoliopsida; Malpighiales; Euphorbiaceae. The record is from RNAcentral.
CGCCACCGAGUCAAAGCUCAUAUUUCACCCUUGCCCAAUUUCGCACGUGCCUGUGGUCGUGUGUCAGUCGGUAGGUAUCCGGACAAGAGGCCGGACAGCCGCCAAGGCCAAGGGAUGAAGAAGCCGAGGGUCACUUAGGUCGGUCUGGACUUAAGAGGCCAGCAUCUCUCUCCAGGGAUGCCGUUGAAGGCGACUUUGCUCCUUGCAACCGUGACUGGCAGGCGGAGG